Molecule: ribosomal RNA, 506 nt
Filed under: uncultured diatom
Lineage: Eukaryota; Bacillariophyta
Description: SSU rRNA
Rfam family: Eukaryotic small subunit ribosomal RNA
Source: RNAcentral
CUGACACAGGGAGGUAGUGACAAUAAAUAACAAUGCCGGGCCUUUGUAGGUCUGGCAAUUGGAAUGAGAACAAUUUAAACCCCUUAUCGAGUAUCAAUUGGAGGGCAAGUCUGGUGCCAGCAGCCGCGGUAAUUCCAGCUCCAAUAGCGUAUAUUAAAGUUGUUGCAGUUAAAAAGCUCGUAGUUGGAUUUGUGGUGUACUUCGGCGGCCCGUCACUAUGUGAUGGAGCUUGCUGAAGUCGCCAUCCUUGGGUGGAUCCUGUGUGGCAUUAAGUUGUCGUGCAGGGGAUGCCCAUCGUUUACUGUGAAAAAAUUGAGUGUUCAAAGCAGGCUUAUGCCGUUGAAUAUAUUAGCAUGGAAUAAUAAGAUAGGACCUUGGUACUAUUUUGUUGGUUUGCGCACCAAGGUAAUGAUUAAUAGGGACAGUUGGGGGUAUUCGUAUUUCAUUGUCAGAGGUGAAAUUCUUGGAUUUUUGAAAGACGAACUACUGCGAAAGCAUUUACCAAG